UGCUCCUACGGGAGGCAGCAGUUAGGACUAUUGGUCAAUUUUCGGGAGCCUGAACCAGCCAAGCCGCGUGAGGGAAGAAGGUACAGCGUAUCGUAAACCUCUUUUGUCAGGGAACAAAGGCGGGGACUAGUCCCCGGAUGAGGGUACCUGAAGAAAAAGCAUCGGCUAACUCCGUGCCAGCAGCCGCGGUAAUACGGAGGAUGCGAGCGUUAUCCGGAUUUAUUGGGUUUAAAGGGUGCGCAGGCGGCCUGUUAAGUCAGCGGUAA
This 266-nucleotide ribosomal RNA is filed under the name uncultured bacterium. RNAcentral describes it as "partial 16S ribosomal RNA". It matches the Rfam family "Bacterial small subunit ribosomal RNA", at positions 334 to 597 of the family's 1533-position model. The record is from RNAcentral.